GUAUAGGGGAGGCGAAGGGAAACCGAGUCUGAUAAGGGCGCAUAGUCGCGGGCAGUAGACCCGAAACCGGGUGAUCUAGUCAUGGCCAGGGUGAAGGUGCCGUAACAGGUACUGGAGGCCCGAACCCACGUCUGUUGCAAAAGACGGGGAUGAGCUGUGAUUAGGAGUGAAAAGCUAAUCGAACCCGGAGAUAGCUGGUUCUCCUCGAAAGCUAUUUAGGUAGCGCCUCGGACGAAUACUACUG
RNAcentral lists this ribosomal RNA (244 nucleotides) under Xanthomonas vesicatoria. Its description in RNAcentral is "partial 23S ribosomal RNA". It matches the Rfam family "Bacterial large subunit ribosomal RNA", at positions 655 to 898 of the family's 2925-position model. Lineage: Bacteria; Pseudomonadati; Pseudomonadota; Gammaproteobacteria; Lysobacterales; Lysobacteraceae. The record is from RNAcentral.